GACGAACGCUGGCGGCGUGCCUAACACAUGCAAGUCGAGCGAGUGAAUCUCCUUCGGGAGUGAAGCUAGCGGCGGACGGGUGAGUAACACGUGGGCAACCUGCCUCAUAGAGGGGAAUAGCCUUCCGAAAGGAAGAUUAAUACCGCAUAAGAUUGCAGCUUCGCAUGAAGUAGCAAUUAAAGGAGCAAUCCGCUAUGAGAUGGGCCCGCGGCGCAUUAGCUAGUUGGUGAGGUAACGGCUCACCAAGGCGACGAUGCGUAGCCGACCUGAGAGGGUGAUCGGCCACAUUGGGACUGAGACACGGCCCAGACUCCUACGGGAGGCAGCAGUGGGGAAUAUUGCACAAUGGGGGAAACCCUGAUGCAGCAACGCCGCGUGAGUGAUGACGGCCUUCGGGUUGUAAAGCUCUGUCUUCAGGGACGAUAAUGACGGUACCUGAGGAGGAAGCCACGGCUAACUACGUGCCAGCAGCCGCCGUAA
This 480-nucleotide ribosomal RNA is filed under the name uncultured bacterium. RNAcentral's name for it is "partial 16S ribosomal RNA". It matches the Rfam family "Bacterial small subunit ribosomal RNA", at positions 28 to 523 of the family's 1533-position model. The record is from RNAcentral.